CGCUUUCGAGCCUCAGCGUCAGUUACAAGCCAGAGAGCCGCUUUCGCCACCGGUGUUCCUCCAUAUAUCUACGCAUUUCACCGCUACACAUGGAAUUCCACUCUCCCCUCUUGCACUCAAGUUAAACAGUUUCCAAAGCGUACUAUGGUUAAGCCACAGCCUUUAACUUCAGACUUAUCUAACCGCCUGCGCUCGCUUUACGCCCAAUAAAUCCGGACAACGCUCGGGACCUACGUAUUACCGCGGCUGCUGGCACGUAGUUAGCCGUCCCUUUCUGGUAAGAUACCGUCACAGUGUGAACUUUCCACUCUCACACUCGUUCUUCUCUUACAACAGAGCUUUACGAUCCGAAAACCUUCUUCACUCACGCGGCGUUGCUCGGUCAGACUUCCGUCCAUUGCCGAAGAUUCCCUACUGCUGCCUCCCGUAGGAGUCUGGGCCGUGUCUCAGUCCCAGUGUGGCCGAUCACCCUCUCAGGUCGGCUAUGUAUCGUCGCCUUGGUGAGCCGUUACCCCACCAACUAGCUAAUACAACGCAGGUCCAUCUGGUAGUGAUGCAAUUGCACCUUUCAAGCAGAUAUCAUGCAAUAUCUACUGUUAUGCGGUAUUAGCUAUCGUUUCCAAUAGUUAUCCCCCGCUACCAGGCAGGUUACCUACGCGUUACUCACCCGUUCGCAACUCAUCCGGAGAAGCAAGCUCCUCCUUCAGCGUUCUACUUGCAUGUAUUAGGCACGCCGCCAGCGUUCGUCCUGAGCCAGGAUCAAACCCUC
This 769-nucleotide ribosomal RNA is filed under the name uncultured bacterium. Its description in RNAcentral is "partial 16S ribosomal RNA". The record is from RNAcentral.